UGCCAGACUCCUACGGGAGGCAGCAGUGGGGAAUAUUGCACAAUGGGGGAAGCCCUGAUGCAGCGACGCCGCGUGAGUGAAGAAGUAAUUCGUUAUGUAAAGCUCUAUCAGCAGGGAAGAAAAUGACGGUACCUGAGUAAGAAGCCCCGGCUAACUACGUGCCAGCAGCCGCGGUAAUACGUAGGGGGCAAGCGUUAUCCGGAUUUACUGGGUGUAAAGGGAGCGUAGACGGCAGAGCAAGUCUGAAGUGAAAGCCCGCGGCCCAACUGCGGGACUGCUUUGGAAACUGCCCGGCUAGAGUGCUGGAGAGGUAAGCGGAAUUCCUAGUGUAGCGGUGAAAUGCGUAGAUAUUAGGAGGAACACCAGUGGCGAAGGCGGCUUACUGGACAGCAACUGACGUUGAGGCUCGAAAGCGUGGGGAGCAAACAGGAUUAGAUACCCUGGUA
RNAcentral lists this ribosomal RNA (446 nucleotides) under uncultured bacterium. RNAcentral describes it as "bacterial SSU rRNA". It matches the Rfam family "Bacterial small subunit ribosomal RNA", at positions 329 to 792 of the family's 1533-position model. The record is from RNAcentral.